Molecule: ribosomal RNA, 463 nt
Filed under: uncultured bacterium
Lineage: Bacteria
Description: partial 16S ribosomal RNA
Rfam family: Bacterial small subunit ribosomal RNA
Source: RNAcentral
GAUGAACGCUGGCGGCGUGCUUAACACAUGCAAGUCGAACGGAAAGGCCCAAGCUUGCUUGGGUGCUCGAGUGGCGAACGGGUGAGUAACACGUGGGUGAUCUGCCCUGCACUUUGGGAUAAGCCUGGGAAACUGGGUCUAAUACCGGAUAGGACCAUCGUUUAGUGUCGGUGGUGGAAAGUUUUUCGGUGUGGGAUGAGCUCGCGGCCUAUCAGCUUGUUGGUGGGGUAAUGGCCUACCAAGGCGUCGACGGGUAGCCGGCCUGAGAGGGUGUACGGCCACAUUGGGACUGAGAUACGGCCCAGACUCCUACGGGAGGCAGCAGUGGGGAAUAUUGCACAAUGGGCGCAAGCCUGAUGCAGCGACGCCGCGUGGGGGAUGACGGCCUUCGGGUUGUAAACUCCUUUCGCCAAGGACGAAGCGUUUUGUGACGGUACUUGGAGAAGAAGCACCGGCUAACUAC